AUGAAAUUGUUACGACGCUUAAAAGCAUCGACGGACUCUUUUCAUGCGUCACUAAAAUUCACACUUACCCCAACCCUUCGUUUAGUCGAAACCCUAGCCCUUUGUCGCUCCACCCCUUCUUCGGAUUCCUUCCAGGUCCUGUGCCUCAAUUUUCGAUCGGAAACCGACUCUCCACCUCAUUUAAAACCCACCCUCCCCCACCAUUUCGAGCCCCAAACUGAUCCCUCUCUUCCUCCUCCUCCUCCUCCUCUUCCGACCUCAUCGCUGACAGUAUCCCUCCUCCUCCUCCGACCUCUCGUCGCCGACGGUCUCCCUCCUCCUCCGACCUCUCCACCGCUCCUCCACCUUGCUCAUCCUCCUCCGGUCUCUCAUCACCAUCGCCGUCAUCGUAGCUAUCCCCUACUGAGAUCCAGUAGGAGAUCACCAUCAACGACAUCGAGAGUCCAUCGACUGAGCUUCGCUAGGGUUCGUGUACAGCAGAGCCGACUGGGGAGCCUCUCCAACCAUUGUCGAAACCUCACCAUCCUAUAGAUCCUGUUUAUUAUAAAAAUGCUCGUGUGCUCCUUCAUGAUGAAAGUAUAUAUCGAUUUGAGUGUGUAAGUUUCAUGCCAUCUGUUCUUUUAUUAUUGAGACUUUGACUUCUUGUUUUCAUAAUGGUAGUCAAAAUACUGCAUCUAAAUCUAUGGUAGUAAGAUAUGGUGGGGUUUGCCUAGUAUUUUUGGAUGAGUUGGUAACGAGUUGUGCUUGGGAAGUUUUGUUGUUGAUGAAGGCUUUAUGUUGCUUUAUGAUGGGGUUUUAUUUCGAUGCUUCAGAAACUCUUAUACAAAUGCUUGAUUUGGGGUUAUGGCCUGAAUACAUAUAUAGGGCAGCUGUGUUGCAGGGACUUAGGAGGAGCAUACAGGAAUCUGGAAACAUUGAACCUUACAUCAAGCUGUGCAAGCACCUAUCUGAUACGGAUCUGACUGGACCCUGCCUUGUAUAUUUGUACAUAAGUAAAUAUAAGCUGUGGAUUAUAAAAAUGCUCUGACGGCUUUGAUGAGAGUUUCUGCCAACUUGUUUGGUCGAUUGUUCUCUUACCAGCCAAGCUUUUCUUUAUGCAUUUUGAUGCACUUGUAUAGUAAGAUGAAUGAGGAUCGGAAGUUAAAGUGUUUUAAUAGGCACCAAACAUGGAUCAAGAUGAAAUAUGUCCAAUAAAAUGUCACCAUUGUCUAUACGGGCAUACAUAAGAUAUAUGUAGUCUCAGAUUUUUAUAACUUUGCCUUCUAUGAUGUUGUAAAUCUUGUAACUUUGCCUUCUAUUAAGUCUCCCUCAGGUUGAAGCUUGACUAUCAAGUGCAGGUUUCUGGAAAAUCAAUGAGGGAAGAAGUGCAGGAGUGAAGAAAUGCAUGAAGAAUAUCACCUGUAAAGUAAGGCAGGACAGGUGAUGAAUGGGAGUAUUCAUGUUCGGUUGUAUCAGGGAGAACUCCCUGAAAAAAUACAUGCUAAUACGUUAUACAUUACUAAAAUUAGUGUAUGUGUUUUUUUUUCUUUUCCUAAAUUAGAUGAAUUGUAAGUGAGUUUAUACUGAAUCUUGGAUUGCCAGAUCAAAAUUUAAAUGUUCCUGAGGAAUUGCAUGAAAUGCUUGUUCGCAGCCCAAAAAGUUAGUUCUCCAGAACUGGUCGAGUAUUUCUCUUAGGCUAUAAAGCAGGCCACUUCAUGUAUGACCCUCAGAUGCUAACAGGAGGUCAUCAAUAAAAUGCGUGUGCAUUCACCAAUCUUGAAUCAGAUUAAGAUCACAGCUUCUGGUCAUGCUCGUUUUGCAUUGCGUCGCACUUGCCUUAAGUUGAUGUAUGAUAUGUGAUGCCUCCAAUAGUAACUAACGUUGGUUCUUAGCCAAAGUAUGACACGAGGAGGCGGCAGAAAACGAACACGCCAACAGCAGGUGGGGGUCCAUGCCUGGGACUUUUCUCGUUGGCAUUCCCCAUGCUGGUCUGAUGGCUCUGCAGCAUAUUAGAGCAGGUCACUUGAUUGACUUGUGCGGGCAUGCCAAUCUAUUUAAAGCCACUUUGAGCAUCUAGUGGCUCCUCAUAAUUUGCCUUGCGACGUUACCACCAGCCGACUCUCCAGCCAGUGGAUCGGAUGCGCGCUUCAAUACCGCAGUCAACGGAAAGCAGUCGUACAUCUUUGCCUGUUACUAUUUCUCAUAACCAUGCAGAAAAUUGGCACUUCUCGUCUGCCUUAUUUUCUUGUCGUCUUUGUUGGCGGUCCCUCAAGAGGGAACUAAUAAAUGGGUGCGGAAAGAAUAACAUUAGACAAAGGAUGGUGGUACUAGAUUCCAAAAACAGCAUGUGCAACUUGAGAGAUUCCAAAGUGAUUCACGUUGUUUCAACAUUUUUAAUAAAUUUUGAAUAGGUAUAUAUAUAUUAUU
Elaeis guineensis (African oil palm) is the source of this 2406-nucleotide long non-coding RNA. RefSeq lists it as uncharacterized. NCBI's taxonomy places the organism in Eukaryota, Viridiplantae, Streptophyta, Magnoliopsida, Arecales, Arecaceae. The record is from RefSeq and is a predicted model, not a curated record.